Chelonus insularis is the source of this 1545-nucleotide long non-coding RNA. RefSeq lists it as uncharacterized. NCBI's taxonomy places the organism in Eukaryota, Metazoa, Arthropoda, Insecta, Hymenoptera, Braconidae. The transcript is spliced from 3 exons. The record is from RefSeq and is a predicted model, not a curated record.
AGCGUCACAUGAAAGGGUUGGUGGGAUGAAAAUAAAACUAAAAAUAAUGCAACAAUAUUAGAAUGUCAUUUUGUUGUAUUUAUUAGUUAUUUAGUAGACCGAAUUUUCCGUUGUUCGUUAUCGUAAAUAGAAUGUUCAGGGUACAAUGAAAUCUGUUUUCAUAGAUAGAACUAUGAUGGAAUCAAGAUAUUGAGGUUAGAGCUUCACUUCAGACUUCUAUUAUGUGAUAGUCAAUGGGCUAUUGUUAAAUCAAGUGGCUUCAAACCUUAAGAAAGUGUAUUAUAUUUUAUUCUACGACAUUUUCCCUCAGACAACUAAUGUUGAUACUUGGAUAUAUAUUGCAUCAACUUAUGUUUACACAUCUAACUACUCUAAAAUAGCAAAUAUUGAGGGUUCAAUUCUAUGAUUAUUUCUGUGGGUAAUCAUAUCAUUACUGGGUUCCCACAGCACAGUGAUUGUUGUAUCAUUGGAGGACGAAACUAUGAUGUAUAAAUCCUUCCAUAACUGGUAUCAAUAAUGAAUUGGAUCCAUUGUGGGUUAUAUGUACCAGAACUAUGGUUAUUGGUAUGACUUUUGGAAGCCGGGGUUCAAUGAAAUUUAACUACCAAGUAUUCAAAUGACAUAAAUGGAAUGGGUUGUCGCCGAUAAAUUGAAUAAGUAUGAAUAAUAUUUAGAGUAUUGACUGAACCAACGUGCUUCUAUUUUAUUGUAACGAAACAAAGUUCGUUUUGUGAGAUAAAAAGAGUAAUACUAAUCACGCUGUUAAUGAAUAAGAGAAGGAAUGAGAAAAGGACUCUAAGGAAUUCAUAUAUAACCAACUGCCACAGUUUAUCGUCUCUGCUGUUGAAGGGGUUUAUAUAUUCACUGCAUCACUAAACACCCUUUCAUAAACGUGAUGUAGAACGACCUAAGGCGUCACUGCACAAAUUUAAUCGCAUACGCAGUAAUUUUCACCUGCAGCAAACUCAUUUACACGAGGAGUGAUUACGUCUUGAUGCUGGUAAAACUACUGAUGGCAUGAAAACCUUGAGUUACGUGCAUUCACUAAGGACACAAAUAUCAUCAGCAGAAAUACUCCUAGACUGCUGCAAGUGAGAGAAAUUGUCCCUACGAUUUCGUUAUCGUCAAUGCAAACGAAAACGAGGGCAAUUAAAGUAAGCAAACGGAUAUAUAAAUGGACUUUGAAAGUGCAUGAAUAUCGAGUAAGUUCUCUUAUUCGAUGGAGGGAAGCUACGCCUUCGACUUCCUAUUGAAGACAAUGCCCAUUGUCUUGAUAAUAGGUACGUUAGAGGGUGUCGCGUAAUCUAGCAAUUCACUUCAAAAGCUAAAAGCUGCACGCGCACCUGUAAAUGAACGAGUAUAUAAGGAUUAUAACGAUGAGGAAAAUCAAUCUUCCAGGAGUAAAAUAGAUUCUUUUCAAAUGGUGAGAUUAAGAAUGAAAUUAAAAUAAAUUUUAUGCACUCAAUAAUAUUUUCGUUCAUUAAAAUAACCAGUUUUAAUGGUAAAACUUGGAUCCAAUUACUGGUAAUACCCCUGAUAAAUAUA